This 1121-nucleotide ribosomal RNA is filed under the name Salmonella enterica. Its description in RNAcentral is "partial 23S ribosomal RNA". It matches the Rfam family "Bacterial large subunit ribosomal RNA", at positions 1 to 1051 of the family's 2925-position model. The record is from RNAcentral. Lineage: Bacteria; Pseudomonadati; Pseudomonadota; Gammaproteobacteria; Enterobacterales; Enterobacteriaceae.
GGGUUGUGAGGUUAAGCGACUAAGCGUACACGGUGGAUGCCCUGGCAGUCAGAGGCGAUGAAGGGCGUGCUAAUCUGCGAUAAGCGCCGGUAAGGUGAUAUGAACCGUUAUAACCGGCGAUACCCGAAUGGGGAAACCCAGUGUGACUCGUCACACUAUCAUUAACUGAAUCCAUAGGUUAAUGAGGCGAACCGGGGGAACUGAAACAUCUAAGUACCCCGAGGAAAAUAAAUCAACCGAGAUUCCCCCAGUAGCGGCGAGCGAACGGGGAGGAGCCCAGAGCCUGAAUCAGCAUGUGUGUUAGUGGAAGCGUCUGGAAAGGCGCGCGAUACAGGGUGACAGCCCCGUACACAAAAGCGCAUGUGCUGUGAGCUCGAUGAGUAGGGCGGGACACGUGGUAUCCUGUCUGAAUAUGGGGGGACCAUCCUCCAAGGCUAAAUACUCCUGACUGACCGAUAGUGAACCAGUACCGUGAGGGAAAGGCGAAAAGAACCCCGGCGAGGGGAGUGAAAAAGAACCUGAAACCGUGUACGUACAAGCAGUGGGAGCCCCACCACCAAAGCAUUCUCUGGUGUUGAAGGCCCUGCAAAGCAGCAUCGCGGUGGCGGAGCGUCGUUUGCGACGCCCAACACACAAAACAAGCGGUGAGUGCUUUGGGGUGGGGUGACUGCGUACCUUUUGUAUAAUGGGUCAGCGACUUAUAUUCUGUAGCAAGGUUAACCGAAUAGGGGAGCCGGAGGGAAACCGAGUCUUAAUUGGGCGUUAAGUUGCAGGGUAUAGACCCGAAACCCGGUGAUCUAGCCAUGGGCAGGUUGAAGGUUGGGUAACACUAACUGGAGGACCGAACCGACUAAUGUUGAAAAAUUAGCGGAUGACCUGUGGCUGGGGGUGAAAGGCCAAUCAAACCGGGAGAUAGCUGGUUCUCCCCGAAAGCUAUUUAGGUAGCGCCUCGUGAAUUCAUCUCCGGGGGUAGAGCACUGUUUCGGCUAGGGGGUCAUCCCGACUUACCAACCCGAUGCAAACUGCGAAUACCGGAGAAUGUUAUCACGGGAGACACACGGCGGGUGCUAACGUCCGUCGUGAAGAGGGAAACAACCCAGACCGCCAGCUAAGGUCCCAAA